CCUACGGGGGGCUGCAGUGGGGAAUUUUGGACAAUGGGCGCAAGCCUGAUCCAGCCAUUCCGCGUGAGUGAAGAAGGCCUUCGGGUUGUAAAGCUCUUUCGCAAGGGAAGAAAACUUAUCCUCUAACAUAGGAUGAGGUUGACGGUACCUUGAUAAGAAGCACCGGCUAACUACGUGCCAGCAGCCGCGGUAAUACGUAGGGUGCGAGCGUUACGCGGAAUUAGCGCGGGUAAUGCUUGCGGACGCUGGUGAAAUCCCCGAGCUCAACUUGGGAACUGCGUUUGAAACUACAAGACUAGAAUAGGUCAGAGGGGGGUAGAAUUCCACGUGUAGCAGUGAAAUGCGUAGAGAUGUGGAGGAAUAUCAAUGGCGAAGGCAGCCCCCUGGGAUCAUAUUGACGCUCAUGCACGAAAGCGUGGGGAGCAAACAGGAUUAGAUACCCUUGUAGUC
RNAcentral lists this ribosomal RNA (450 nucleotides) under uncultured bacterium. Its description in RNAcentral is "partial 16S ribosomal RNA". It matches the Rfam family "Bacterial small subunit ribosomal RNA", at positions 338 to 795 of the family's 1533-position model. The record is from RNAcentral.